RNAcentral lists this ribosomal RNA (170 nucleotides) under uncultured Bacillus sp. RNAcentral's name for it is "partial 16S ribosomal RNA". It matches the Rfam family "Bacterial small subunit ribosomal RNA", at positions 338 to 525 of the family's 1533-position model. The record is from RNAcentral. Lineage: Bacteria; Bacillati; Bacillota; Bacilli; Caryophanales; Bacillaceae.
CCUACGGGAGGCAGCAGUGGGGAAUCUUGCACAAUGGGGGAAACCCUGAUGCAGCGACGCCGCGUGAGCGAUGAAGCCCUUCGGGGUGUAAAGCUCUUUCACCCGCGACGAUGAUGACGGUAGCGGGAGAAGAAGCCCCGGCUAACUCCGUGCCAGCAGCCGCGGUAAUA